Molecule: long non-coding RNA, 1245 nt
Filed under: Anser cygnoides (Swan goose)
Lineage: Eukaryota; Metazoa; Chordata; Aves; Anseriformes; Anatidae
Description: lncRNA (ENSACDG00005006977.1)
Source: RNAcentral
UUCACUAGAUGACAGCAUAUGAGGUACAUCACUGCCAAUUUUGACAUGCUGGUUUCAACAAAAAAAAAUGGAAAGUAUUGUUUCAAGAGACUAAAUCCUGAGAGGAAGCAACAGAAGGAAAUGUGUUUCAGAGCACCCAUUUUGGACUAUAGCGUAAGAAAAGAGUCGCUAUAUCACCAUUUUGCAAGACCUCAACCUAUUUCCAAGCACAUUUACUUUUUUUCCUUCUUCUUCUUUCUCCCUACUCCCCCUGCCCUGCCCCCCAAAAUCUGCAAUACUUAAUUUGAAACUAUUCAGUUUCAAGCUAAUAUACAUUUACAUCCCCAAAGACUCACAAACUUUUAAAUAGAUCUGAUCAUAGUCAGAAAAAAAGUAAAUAUGAUCUAGCCCCUACCUACUUACACACACACAUUUCCUAUGUAUAGAACACUGACCGUUCUUUAAUUAGGGAAGCCAGCUGGGAUUUGAAUUUUUCUUUGAAGGAAGCACAGAAGUAAUGUUUAGAAAACGUAUGAAAUCCCAUCUUGUCUUUGAGCUGUCACUCAGGCUUUGGGUCUUUUGCCCCAUAUUCUAUUAACCAUUCUUAUUCUGAACCUGUGAUAUCCGAUUCCUCUUUCUGUAAUUUCCGUCUUUUGUUCACAACUCUAUUCUCACAAUAACACUAUUCAGAUAAGGUAUGUCUUUGAGUUGUCAGCUACUACUUCUCUUUUUUUUUUUUUUCUCCUUGUACAGAUACUAUUAGUGCUUUGGGAUUUUGUGAUAAAAGUGUACAAAGCAAGAGCCCUCUGCUAAAUAUUGCAGCUCACUUUUCAGUACUGCAUCAGGCAGCAUUAGAAGGGAGUUUUUACAGUUUACCUUGCAAAUGAUGGAAACCACUCUUUGUUAAACAAAAGAAUGAAGGGAGCCCAGAAAAAGAUAUAUUCAUAGUGCAUUGCUUGUGUGCUAUGGUGUCCUGGCACUGGAGGAAAAAUGUAAGGGGAUUAUUCCUGGAUAAGGCACCUUGCAAAUAUAACAUGUGCGUGUUGUGACACUUUGGCCAUAUGAUCAUCAUUCAGUUCAAAAAGGUAUGCUUUCAAGGUUUAAAAAGUAAAAAGAUCAGAGUAAUGACCUUGAACUGCACAGCAAAAGACACAGCAUAUCUUUAUUAUGUCUCCUCUCAGCAGAGAUUGUAUUUUUUUUAGGUACACACUGCCCAGCAAAAUGGAAAUACGGAUCUCAGCAGUAAUAAAUCCAUACGAAAUCCCA